RNAcentral lists this transfer RNA (93 nucleotides) under Armillaria solidipes. It matches the Rfam family "tRNA". From Rfam's summary of the family: Transfer RNA (tRNA) molecules are approximately 80 nucleotides in length. Lineage: Eukaryota; Fungi; Basidiomycota; Agaricomycetes; Agaricales; Physalacriaceae. The record is from Rfam by way of RNAcentral.
GGGGGCAUAGCUCAGUUGGGAGAGCAACAGACUGAAGUUAGGCGUGAUUGCAUAUAUUUCUGGAGGUCCCCAGUUCAAUCCUGGGUGCCCCCA